GUCGAGCGGACUUGAUGAGGAGCUUGCUCCUCUGAUGGUUAGCGGCGGACGGGUGAGUAACACGUAGGCAACCUGCCUGCAAGACCGGGAUAACUAGCGGAAACGUUAGCUAAUACCGGAUAAUUUAUCGCUUUGCAUGAAGCGGUAAUGAAAGGCGGAACAAUCUGUCACUUGCAGAUGGGCCUGCGGCGCAAUAACUAGUUGGUGAGGUAACGGCUCACCAAGGCGACCAUGCGUAACCCACCUGAAAGGGUGAACGGCCACACUGGGACUGAAACACGGCCCAAACUCCUACGGGAGGCAGCAGUAGGGAAUCUUCCGCAAUGGGCGAAAGCCUGACGGAACAACCCCCCGUGAGUGAUGAAGGUUUUCGGAUCGUAAAGCUCUGUUGCCAGGGAAGAACGACCGUUAGAGUAACUGCUAACGGAAUGACGGUACCUGAAAAGAAAGCCCCGGCUAACUACCUGCCAGCAGCCGCGGUAAUACCUAAGGGGCAAGCGUUGUCCGGAAUUAUUGGGCGUAAAGCGCGCGCAGGCGGUCACUUAAGUCUGGUGUUUAAGGCUAAGGCUCAACCCUGGUUCGCACUGGAAACUGGGUGACUUGAGUGCAGAAGAAGAGAGUGGAAUUCCACGUGUAGCGGUGAAAUGCGUAGAGAUGUGGAAGAACACCAGUGGCGAAAGCCACUCUCUGGGCUGUAACUGACGCUGAAGCGCGAAAGCGUGGGGAGCAA
Molecule: ribosomal RNA, 730 nt
Filed under: Paenibacillus sp. 11B-02684
Lineage: Bacteria; Bacillati; Bacillota; Bacilli; Caryophanales; Paenibacillaceae
Description: bacterial SSU rRNA
Rfam family: Bacterial small subunit ribosomal RNA
Source: RNAcentral